Molecule: transfer RNA, 73 nt
Filed under: uncultured archaeon
Lineage: Archaea
Description: tRNA-Pro(tgg)
Rfam family: tRNA
About the family: Transfer RNA (tRNA) molecules are approximately 80 nucleotides in length.
Source: RNAcentral
GGGGAAGUGAGCCAACCUGGUAUGCUGUCAGCUUUGGGAGCUGGUUAUCCCGGUUCAAAUCCGGGCUUCCCCA